CCUACGGGUGGCAGCAGUGGGGAAUAUUGCACAAUGGAGGAAACUCUGAUGCAGCGACGCCGCGUGGAGGAAGAAGGUUUUCGGAUCGUAAACUCCUGUUGUCGGGGACGAUAAUGACGGUACCCGACAAGAAAGUGACGGCUAACUACGUGCCAGCAGCCGCGGUAAAACGUAGGUCACAAGCGUUGUCCGGAAUUACUGGGUGUAAAGGGAGCGCAGGCGGGGAGAUAAGUUGGGAGUGAAAACUAUGGGCUCAACCCAUAAAUUGCUUUCAAAACUAUCUUUCUUGAGUAGUGCAGAGGUAGGCGGAAUUCCCGGUGUAGCGGUGGAAUGCGUAGAUAUCGGGAGGAACACCAGUGGCGAAGGCGGCCUACUGGGCACCAACUGACGCUGAGGCUCGAAAGUAUGGGUAGCAAACAGGAUUAGAUACCCUUGUAG
This 438-nucleotide ribosomal RNA is filed under the name uncultured bacterium. RNAcentral describes it as "bacterial SSU rRNA". It matches the Rfam family "Bacterial small subunit ribosomal RNA", at positions 338 to 793 of the family's 1533-position model. The record is from RNAcentral.